AGCAGCCGCGGUAAUUCCAGCUCCAAUAGCGUAUAUUAAAGUUGUUGCAGUUAAAAAGCUCGUAGUUGAAUUUCGGGAUCAAUGUUUCGGUCAUGCCGUUGGUAUGUACUGAUAUUAUUGGUUUCUCACCUUCUAAAGAACCGUAAUGCCAUUAAUUUGGUGUCACGGGGAAUUAGGACUGUUACCUUGAAAAAUUAGAGUGUUUAAAGCAGGCUUACGCUUGAAUACAUUAGCAUGGAAUAAUGAAAUAGGACAUCCGAUUCUAUUUUGUUGGUUUCUAGGAUCGAUGUAAUGAUUAAUAGGGAUAGUUGGGGGCAUUAGUAUUCAAUUGUCAGAGGUGAAAUUCUUGGAUUUAUUGAAGACUAACUACUGCGAAAGCAUUUGCCAAGGAUGUUUUCAUUAAUCAAGAACGAAAGUUAGGGGAUCGAAGACGAUCAGAUACCGUCGUAGUCUUAACCAUAAACUAUGCCGACUAGGGAUCGGAUGAUGUUAAUUUUUAAUGUACUCAUUCGGCGCCUUA
This 520-nucleotide ribosomal RNA is filed under the name uncultured Glomus. RNAcentral's name for it is "SSU rRNA". It matches the Rfam family "Eukaryotic small subunit ribosomal RNA", at positions 569 to 1090 of the family's 1831-position model. Lineage: Eukaryota; Fungi; Glomeromycota; Glomeromycetes; Glomerales; Glomeraceae. The record is from RNAcentral.